UACGUAGGUGACAAGCGUUGUCCGGAUUUACUGGGCGUAAAGAGCGCGCAGGCGGUCGUUCAAGUCGAGUGUGAAAGCCCCGGGCUCAACCUGGGAAUGGCGAUGGAUACUGGCUCGCUAGAGUGCGGUAGAGGAGAGUGGAAUUCCCGGUGUAGCAGUGAAAUGCGUAGAGAUCGGGAGGAACAUCAGUUGCGAAGGCGGCUCUCUGGACCAGCACUGACACUGAGGCACGAAAGCGUGGGGAGCAAACAGG
This 253-nucleotide ribosomal RNA is filed under the name uncultured bacterium. RNAcentral describes it as "partial 16S ribosomal RNA". It matches the Rfam family "Bacterial small subunit ribosomal RNA", at positions 524 to 776 of the family's 1533-position model. The record is from RNAcentral.